RNAcentral lists this ribosomal RNA (503 nucleotides) under uncultured bacterium. RNAcentral's name for it is "partial 16S ribosomal RNA". It matches the Rfam family "Bacterial small subunit ribosomal RNA", at positions 30 to 523 of the family's 1533-position model. The record is from RNAcentral.
AUUGAACGCUGGCGGCAGGCUUAACACAUGCAAGUCGAGCGGGGUGAUGGUGCUUGCACUAUCACUUAGCGGCGGACGGGUGAGUAAUGCUUAGGAAUCUGCCUAUUAGUGGGGGACAACAUCACGAAAGGGAUGCUAAUACCGCAUACGUCCUACGGGGGAAAGCAGGGGAUCACUUGUGACCUUGCGCUAAUAGGUGAGCAUAAGUCGGAUUAGCUAGUUGGUGGGGUAAAGGCCUACAAAGGCGACGAUCUGUAGCGGGUCUGCGAGGAUGAUCCGCCACACUGGGAUUGAGACACGGCCCAGACUCCUACGGGAGGCAGCAGUGGGGAAUAUUGGACAAUGGGGGGAACCCUGAUCCAGCCAUGCCGCGUGUGUGAAGAAGGCCUUAUGGUUGUAAAGCACUUUAAGCGAGGAGGAGGCUCUUUUGGUUAAUACCCAGAAUGAGUGGACGUUACUCGCAGAAUAAGCACCGGCUAACUCUGUGCCAGCAGCCGCCGUAA